This 253-nucleotide ribosomal RNA is filed under the name uncultured bacterium. RNAcentral describes it as "partial 16S ribosomal RNA". It matches the Rfam family "Bacterial small subunit ribosomal RNA", at positions 524 to 776 of the family's 1533-position model. The record is from RNAcentral.
UACAGAGGGGGCAAGCGUUAUUCGGAAUUAUUGGGCGUAAAGAGCUCGUAGGCGGUUUGUCGCGUCUGCCGUGAAAGUCCGGGGCUCAACUUCGGAUCUGCGGUGGGUACGGGCAGACUAGAGUGAUGUAGGGGAGACUGGAAUUCCUGGUGUAGCGGUGAAAUGCGCAGAUAUCAGGAGGAACACCGAUGGCGAAAGCAGAUCUCUGGGCAUUAACUGACGCUGAGGAGCGAAAGCGUGGGGAGCGAACGGG